RNAcentral lists this long non-coding RNA (364 nucleotides) under Bemisia tabaci. Its description in RNAcentral is "lncRNA ENSSSA3NGG010582". Lineage: Eukaryota; Metazoa; Arthropoda; Insecta; Hemiptera; Aleyrodidae. The record is from RNAcentral.
UUCAAUUUUGGACAGGAAUCUGCACCACCCCCGAGGACCAGAGAACGACCCUCCAGUCGAACAAGUACCAAACGUCGUGCACCAGCCCCUCCUAACUAUCAACGGAACAAUUACACAUCCAAUGAUUACCGUCAGAACUCGGGUGAAAGCGAGUCCCAUCAUAAUUAUCACAAUAGAGCCAACGAUGAUUACAGGGGAGACAAAUACAAGACAAACGGAAUGAAGAAAGAUUACGACCACAUCCUUGAAAUGAAAACAAGAGGCCAGGUGCAAUCCAACAACAAUGCAGAUGAUGAAGCAGAUGACCCGCCUUUCAACUUUCAGGCGAUGCUGAGGAAAACAAAUCACAAUCGCGCUUCCCUCC